UUUGUUUGGCUUUAGAAACUAGAAGGUAAAAUAAAGAGAGAGGAAAAAAAAAAAAGUGGGACCCACGUAAAUAUUUUAACUAACCCCUCCGCUGCUAAGAAACGAAACCGGUGAGAUGACGGAGAAGUAAAUCUACAUUUCCCUACUACACCUUCUCUCACUUACGCCUCACUCUCUUAGCAGAAACCACCGCAUCUACACGUGGACUCCAGAUCGUAACCGCUUUUGCCGCCGUUGCGAUUUCUUCCGUUCCGUUUCCAGAAAUCGC
RNAcentral lists this long non-coding RNA (268 nucleotides) under Trifolium pratense (red clover). RNAcentral describes it as "long non-coding RNA (TPRA_LNC009824)". The record is from RNAcentral. Lineage: Eukaryota; Viridiplantae; Streptophyta; Magnoliopsida; Fabales; Fabaceae.